UACGAAGGGGGCUAGCGUUGCUCGGAAUUACUGGGCGUAAAGGGAGCGUAGGCGGGUUAUCAAGUUGGAGGUGAAAGCCCAGGGCUCAACCUUGGAAUUGCCUUCAAAACUGAUAGCCUAGAGUAUGAUAGAGGUAAGUGGAACUCCUAGUGUAGAGGUGAAAUUCGUAGAUAUUAGGAAGAACACCAGUGGCGAAGGCGGCUCACUGGCCCGGAACUGACGCUGAGGUACGAAAGCGUGGGGAGCAAACAGG
This 253-nucleotide ribosomal RNA is filed under the name uncultured bacterium. RNAcentral's name for it is "partial 16S ribosomal RNA". It matches the Rfam family "Bacterial small subunit ribosomal RNA", at positions 524 to 776 of the family's 1533-position model. The record is from RNAcentral.